AGGCUUUGACUUGGGCAACUUCGUUUAAAUGUUUGUCGAAUUGCACUCGUCCCGGCCUGC
RNAcentral lists this microRNA precursor (60 nucleotides) under Daphnia pulex (common water flea). RNAcentral describes it as "Dpu-Mir-92-P4_pre stem-loop". The record is from RNAcentral. Lineage: Eukaryota; Metazoa; Arthropoda; Branchiopoda; Diplostraca; Daphniidae.